This 75-nucleotide transfer RNA is filed under the name Kiritimatiellia bacterium. Its description in RNAcentral is "Kiritimatiellae bacterium (gut metagenome) tRNA-Glu". It matches the Rfam family "tRNA". Rfam says of the family: Transfer RNA (tRNA) molecules are approximately 80 nucleotides in length. Their secondary structure includes four short double-helical elements and three loops (D, anti-codon, and T loops). Further hydrogen bonds mediate the characteristic L-shaped molecular structure. tRNAs have two regions of fundamental functional importance: the anti-codon, which is responsible for specific mRNA codon recognition, and the 3' end, to which the tRNAs corresponding amino acid is attached (by aminoacyl-tRNA synthetases). tRNAs cope with the degeneracy of the genetic code in two manners: having more than one tRNA (with a specific anti-codon) for a particular amino acid; and 'wobble' base-pairing, i.e. permitting non-standard base-pairing at the 3rd anti-codon position. The record is from RNAcentral. Lineage: Bacteria; Pseudomonadati; Kiritimatiellota; Kiritimatiellia.
GGCCCCAUCGUCUAUCGGAUAGGACACAAGCUUUUCAUGCUUGGUAGAGGAGUUCGACUCUCCUUGGGGCUGCCA